RNAcentral lists this ribosomal RNA (852 nucleotides) under Stenomphalia selecta. Its description in RNAcentral is "partial 16S ribosomal RNA". The stretch from base 348 to 589 matches the Rfam family "Archaeal large subunit ribosomal RNA", at positions 1787 to 2143 of the family's 2987-position model. Lineage: Eukaryota; Metazoa; Mollusca; Gastropoda; Stylommatophora; Hygromiidae. The record is from RNAcentral.
GUUAACCAUAUAUAUUUUUGUAUUAAAUAUCACGAAAUCAGAAGAGCUAAAUUUUCAAUCAGUUUGGUUUUCUUUAAUUAAUGUUGUAAUAUUAAUUUCUUAUGGGAUUUUAGGGGUGAAAGGCCUACCAAUUCUGAGGAUAUCUUGAUUUUAAAUAAAUAUAUUUAGUAUAUCGUACAAUCUAAAAAUGGUUAGGUUUUUGGAAAACAUUAUUUUAUUUUUAUUCCCUGUAGUUUUGUUAAUCCAUACUACUAUAGUCAAGGAAAUAUAAAUUAAUUUUGAUAAUAUGGGAAUUAUUUAAAACUUCUAAUUAAUUUUCCCGAAAAUUUUUAAUGUUAACAUUAGUAUGGUAAUAAAUUUAUAAAAGGAACUCGGCAAUAGCACCCUCGACUGUUUAACAAAAACAAGCCUUAAGUUAAAAUUUAAGGUAUAACCUGCUCAAUGAUAUAUUAAAUAGCCGCAGUACCUUGACUGUGCAAAGGUAGCAUAAUCAAUUGGCUUAUAAUUGAAGUCUGGUAUGAAAGGUAAUCCGGGGGUUCGCUGUCUCCUAUAAAUUAAAAGAAAUUGCUUAGUAGGUGAAAAUACCUACAUAAUGAUAAAAGACGAGAAGACCCUAGAAAUUUUCUGUAAAUUUAAUAUAUAUACAUUUUGUUGGGGCGACAUGGUACCAAAAAACAUACCAAAUACAAUAAGAAACUUAUAAGUUGUGUAAAAAAAUUACUCUAGGGAUAACAGCAUAAUAUUAUAAAGUUUGUGACCUCGAUGUUGGACUAGGGAGAACUUUAUCUAGAAGUUAAGUUAUGGGGCUCUGUUCGAGCAACACCACCCCUACACGAUCUGAGUUCAGACCGG